RNAcentral lists this ribosomal RNA (429 nucleotides) under Chloroflexota bacterium. RNAcentral's name for it is "Chloroflexi bacterium partial 16S ribosomal RNA". It matches the Rfam family "Bacterial small subunit ribosomal RNA", at positions 355 to 776 of the family's 1533-position model. The record is from RNAcentral. Lineage: Bacteria; Bacillati; Chloroflexota.
UGGGGAAUAUUGCACAAUGGGCGCAAGCCUGAUGCAGCCAUGCCGCGUGUGUGAAGAAGGCCUUCGGGUUGUAAAGCACUUUCAGCGGGGAGGAAGGCGUUAAGGUUAAUACCUUUGCUCAUUGACGUUACCCGCAGAAGAAGCACCGGCUAACUCCGUGCCAGCAGCCGCGGUAAUACGGAGGGUGCAAGCGUUAAUCGGAAUUACUGGGCGUAAAGCGCACGCAGGCGGUUUGUUAAGUCAGAUGUGAAAUCCCCGGGCUCAACCUGGGAACUGCAUCUGAUACUGGCAAGCUUGAGUCUCGUAGAGGGGGGUAGAAUUCCAGGUGUAGCGGUGAAAUGCGUAGAGAUCUGGAGGAAUACCGGUAGCGAAGGCGGCCCCCUGGACGAAGACUGACGCUCAGGUGCGAAAGCGUGGGGAGCAAACAGG